This 469-nucleotide ribosomal RNA is filed under the name Prevotella sp. oral taxon G57. RNAcentral's name for it is "bacterial SSU rRNA". It matches the Rfam family "Bacterial small subunit ribosomal RNA", at positions 28 to 484 of the family's 1533-position model. The record is from RNAcentral. Lineage: Bacteria; Pseudomonadati; Bacteroidota; Bacteroidia; Bacteroidales; Prevotellaceae.
GAUGAACGCUGGCUACAGGCUUAACACAUGCAAGUCGAGGGGAAACGGCAUUUGGUGCUUGCACCGAAUGGACGUCGACCGGCGCACGGGUGAGUAACGCGUAUCCAACCUUCCCGUUACUGCGGGAUAACCUGCCGAAAGGCAGACUAAUACCGCAUGUUCUUCGAUGACGGCAUCAGAUUCGAAGCAAAGAUCCGUCGGUAACGGAGGGGGAUGCGUCUGAUUAGCUAGUUGGCGGGGCGACGGCCCACCAAGGCGACGAUCAGUAGGGGUUCUGAGAGGAAGGUCCCCCACAUUGGAACUGAGACACGGUCCAAACUCCUACGGGAGGCAGCAGUGAGGAAUAUUGGUCAAUGGGCGGAAGCCUGAACCAGCCAAGUAGCGUGCAGGAUGACGGCCCUACGGGUUGUAAACUGCUUUUAUGCGGGGAUAAAGUGAGGGACGCGUCCCUUUUUGCAGGUACCGCAUG